Molecule: long non-coding RNA, 2231 nt
Filed under: Homo sapiens (human)
Lineage: Eukaryota; Metazoa; Chordata; Mammalia; Primates; Hominidae
Description: HSALNT0296748
Source: RNAcentral
AGGCUGUACAGGAAAUGUGGUGCCGGCAUCUGCUUCUGGUGAGGGCCUCAAAAAGCUUAAAAUCAUGGUGUUUUAUUUUUUGCUACUGAAAUUAACUUAAUUAUUUUUCAGAAGAAUAACAGUAUACUUUCCUGUAUUCUGAUAAUCGAUGUGAUAUUUUAAGUAGCUUACAAUUACAUUGACAAGGCUUCUGCUUUCUCACACUUAGUAGCUGGGACUGUCAAACAGAUGCAGAACGAACAGGUGAAUAAUUUGUUUAGUUAGUUAUUUUUCAUUUCCUUUUCAACUAGAUUGAAAAGUAGGGAUAUAUAAUCCUACAUUUUAGACUAAUUGCGUAAGACAUCUUGAAGAAUUAAAGAAGAUAUUCUAGAAUAGCAGAGAGUUCAUUUUUCAUAAAUUAGAUGGUGACAGUGAGAGAAAUUGUAUUGUUGAUAUAGUACAUAUUUUUGGCCAAUUGGCAGAUACUUGGACACCUACCUAAGGAGCAAGGGCUGGUGCUAGGCAUUGUAGGGAUACAGAUAGUUAUAAUAACUGAUAUUUUAUAAUGUUUACUAUGUGCCAGACACUUUCUGGGUACUCAGAACUUACUACUUGUAUAAAUUUUACAGCAGUCAUAUGCUCUUACCUCUCUUGCAAAUAAGAAAACUGAGACAUAGGGAAGAUAAGUAUCUUGGACAAGGUCACAAAGCUGGUGGUGGAGUUUGGAUUUGAAACCUGGUGAUAUGGCUGUGGAGCCUGUGUUAUUAUCUUGUAAUCAGUAGCACGAAGCAGAAGACCUGGUUCCUGCCCUCAAAUAGCCUGUUGUCUAGUUGCAGUGACAAGUCUCAAACACAUGUAAAGAUAUAUAAUGUAUAUUUUUUAAGAUUGUAGACAGUAAAUAAAUGCUGUAAGUAGAAAUAUUCAUCUAUUUAUUUGCCUAGGUUGACUAGCAAGGCAAUCCUGACUGGCAUAAUCAGGAUUCUAGACUCUGGCCAUAUUGUUGUGUAAUAUUGAACAUCUGGGAUGGGCUGUGCACUGUGCAUUUGCACCCUCCAUGAGUAAGAUUUAAAGAAACACCAUUCUUUUAGUCAUUACCUUUUAAAAAACACUUUUAACCAUGUACAGGUAGUUAUAUUGAAUAGUUUAUUAAAAUUGUCUCACUUAUUUCUGAAAUCUAUUUAAAUAAAAAUGUGGGAAAGCUCAAGAGUGAGUACACUUUACAACCUGGCUGCCUUUUUCAGAUUUCUACUUGCAUUACUGUUUGGAAGUUGUUCUUCAUAUUCCAUGGGAGAUGAUGGGGAGUGGAAAGAUAAGAAGGGAGCAGUGACAUUCAUUCAAUUCCUGUAAAUGACUUUUAUUAACAUUGUUCUGAUGCUUCAGGUUUGUGCUCAGAAACAGGGUGUGUCAUUCAUUACAUAGCAUGCUGUCAUGUCCAGUCUGCUGCCUCAUGACUUCUCUGAGUAAAACUGACUCAGUCAGUGGUUUGAGGCUUGGCCUUCAGCACAAGAGAAGCAAACACCCACUUAUAGCAGCUAGAUUAAUACUGUCUUUCUUUCUGAAAUACUUAAGGAGACCGAUGAUUAACAGCAAAAACAAUAGCCAACGCCAUAGACAUUUCAGCUGGUUCAUUUUACACAAUUCUGACUCUGCUCAGUGGGUGCCAAAACUGUUGCUCCCAGAUCAAUUGCAGACAAGAGCAGAGCUUUCACUGGAAAUUUCAAACAGGUGGGAUCAACAUUCUGAAGGAUUUCUUUGAAGAAUUUUAACAAUAAAUGAACAUGGUUUUACCAGUACAUCCUGAAGACAAAGUACAAUCAAAUCACUGGCUACCAAGAGUUGGAAGUGAGAGCAGAAGCAGACUGAUCAAGAACAAAGGUCAUGGCAACACUUUUUUUGGGAUACGCAAGGCAUUUUGCUCGUUGACUUUUGGGAGGGCCAAUGAAUGCCAACAUCUGCUUAUUGUAAGAGUAUUUUAAGAAAGUUAGCUAAAGCUUGAGCAGAAAAAUGCCUAGGAAAGCUUCACCAGAGAGUCCUUCUCCACCAUGAUAGUGCUCUUGCUCAUUCUUCUCAUCAAACAAGGUCAAUUUUGGGAUAGUUUUGAUGCACAUUUAUUAGGCAUCCACCCUACAGUCCUGAUUUGGCUCCUUCUGACUUUUUUAUUUCUUAAUCUUAAAACGUCUAUAAAGCGUAUCCAUUUUUCUUCAGUUAAAAAUGUAAAAAAGACUGCAUUGACAUGGUUAAUGCAGGACCCU